UCAACAACUUUCAACUAAAAGUUAUGAAAUCUGAUUGGACUUUCUUCACUCAAGAAAAUAACAAUUUAGAAAUUAUCAGAAAAUAUUUCAACUAUGGGUGCACCUAUGUCAAUGGAACACUACCGAUGGCUACGACAUACGCUCAGUUUGAAGAAUAUUACUAUCUGAUGAAUGGAACCGAUUUCAACCUGCUGUGGGACGAGGCAAUUGUCACUGGCGGUGGCGAGCUGCGCUGGUGCCGCGAACCCAACACGUCCAUUCCGGCAUCAUUGCAAUCCGGCCUGGAACUUGUCGGACAAUUACCGUUCUUUUUGGUUUCUUUAGCUGGCCCAAAGCCCAACUUUCACGCUGUGCCUCUGGACUCGAAUAUGGGCAUUUAUUUGUAUUGCGUACUCGACACUGAGUUUGUAAAGAUGUGUCAAGGGAUAAGUUUCUUGGCAAAAUAGUGGACUACCUGUGUUAAGAAACGUAGUUGGAGCAAAAAAAUGGUUUUGAGACAAUUAGAUUUAAAUGGUUUAAGUUGGUUUAAAACAUAUGUUGUUUGCAGCACAAAUUAAGUAAUUAAUUCCAGCUUUUGAUUUGCGUUUUUUGCCUUUCUCGAUUUUUGCUUUUACUUUGCUUGAUGUUAUAGUAUAGAUAAUUUAAAAAAAACUUAUUGUGAGUGGCUCCACUCUUUUUUCUUAAAUUUAAAUAUUAAACCUGUGUGUGUAUU
Long non-coding RNA from Cloeon dipterum, 712 nucleotides. RefSeq lists it as uncharacterized. The record is from RefSeq and is a predicted model, not a curated record. Lineage: Eukaryota; Metazoa; Arthropoda; Insecta; Ephemeroptera; Baetidae. The transcript is spliced from 3 exons.